GUAAACCCGGUGAUUGUGAGGAAUAGCAUCAGGAUACCGUUCAGAGAAAAGACUAGGAGCUGAGAGGUCUUUACGGUAAAGUGCUUGGGUCGCACAGGAGGGGCAGAGGGGAACGGAGUACUUUCUGACGGAAAACCCGUUAGGUAAAUGAGAGUGAAAUGCCAUGCUGUAAGGUUGUUUCACUGAAAUAAGGUGGUACCACGAUCGCUUUUCGUCCUUUAU
RNAcentral lists this non-coding RNA (222 nucleotides) under Desulfosporosinus acidiphilus. RNAcentral describes it as "T-box sequence". It matches the Rfam family "T-box leader". Rfam says of the family: Uncharged tRNA acts as the effector for transcription antitermination of genes in the T-box leader family. T-boxes are found upstream of many aminoacyl-tRNA synthetase genes and some amino acid biosynthetic genes usually in Gram-positive bacteria. The anticodon of a specific tRNA base pairs to a specifier sequence within the T-box motif, and the NCCA acceptor tail of the tRNA base pairs to a conserved bulge in the T-box antiterminator hairpin. The record is from RNAcentral. Lineage: Bacteria; Bacillati; Bacillota; Clostridia; Eubacteriales; Desulfitobacteriaceae.